ACGGAGGAUGCAAGCGUUAUCCGGAUUUAUUGGGUUUAAAGGGUGCGCAGGCGGACGAUUAAGUCAGUGGUGAAAUGUAACAGCUUAACUGUUGAACUGCCAUUGAUACUGAUUAUCUAGAGUACAGACGACGUUGGCGGAAUGCGACAUGUAGCGGUGAAAUGCUUGGAGUUGUCGCAGAACACCGAAUGCGAAGGCAGCUAACGAGGAUGUAACUGACGCUCAUGCGCGAAGGCGUGGGGAGCAAACUG
RNAcentral lists this ribosomal RNA (251 nucleotides) under uncultured prokaryote. RNAcentral describes it as "partial 16S rRNA". It matches the Rfam family "Bacterial small subunit ribosomal RNA", at positions 525 to 775 of the family's 1533-position model. The record is from RNAcentral.